Molecule: long non-coding RNA, 577 nt
Filed under: Elaeis guineensis (African oil palm)
Lineage: Eukaryota; Viridiplantae; Streptophyta; Magnoliopsida; Arecales; Arecaceae
Description: long non-coding RNA (EGUI_LNC040516)
Source: RNAcentral
GGCCAGUUGGUAAGGAAGGCUUCAUGCUUAGCAAGGGAUUUUAGUCAGCAACAUAUUAAUAGGACUCUGUUGAGGCACUAGGAUUGUUUCCAAUCUCCUUCUCACAACUCCACAAAUAUACUUGUGUUGUGGCUGCUCCAACCCUCGGGGUCCUCAAAACUGGAUGAGUUAUUAGAGCAGGGGGCAAACAAUUGAAAUGUUGGAUCAUUCAUCUGUUCCUCAAGCUGAACUUACGAUAGUUUGGUUGGGUAUUUACAUAGCCAUCUAUGAGAUACAGGCAUCCAAUCUAUGGGUAGAAGGUAUUUUUUAACUGUAAUUAAAUGGAUUAACAACCCUUAUCUAUGCAGGACUCAUUACCACCCACUUCUUAAUGAUAUUUGGCAUUGGAGGACAUCCAUUCAUUGAUUGAUAGUGUCUUAUGUUUAUUGGGAAGCCAAUCAAGCUGCGGAUUGUUAUCCAAGGCAGCUCUAUAUGUGGAGGUUAACUUUAAUUAUAAUGAUAGUUUGCCGGUUGCUUUAGUUGAUAUUGUGAAGGCUGAUUUCAGAAAUGUGCAGUUCAUUAAGAAAAUCUGAUGGUC